UGGGAGAAUGAACAAUGAUCAUGCAGCCUC
RNAcentral lists this non-coding RNA (30 nucleotides) under Rattus norvegicus (Norway rat). The record is from RNAcentral. Lineage: Eukaryota; Metazoa; Chordata; Mammalia; Rodentia; Muridae.